Molecule: long non-coding RNA, 988 nt
Organism: Epinephelus fuscoguttatus (brown-marbled grouper)
Lineage: Eukaryota; Metazoa; Chordata; Actinopteri; Perciformes; Serranidae
Exons: 4
Source: RefSeq, a predicted model, not a curated record
UAGGUGGCUGUACCUACACUAGUUGCCAACGGUUGCCAACUGCUAAUAACAGAAGAAGAAGAGGAAAAACUUUGAGGCAACAACAACUUGAAUUUCACGGACAGUAAAAGUCUACUGCAAUGGAUCAGACAACCAUCCAGAUGUGUGUUUAAGCAGCUCAUCACCUCAUAUCCUCUGAGGAUGCCAUUGGCGCUGAGCUGCUGGACGGGCUCCCAUGAAACCUGGAUCUCAAAGGCAGUCAGUGCCGUGGCGUUGAUGUUUGAUGGUCCUACUGUUGGCUCUGUAAGGAGUCAAGGAAAGAAAUAAAACCAGGUUGGAUCUUCAGUCUAUUGCAUACCAAUUUGAGGUCUAAGCAUGAUGAUGUACCUAAUAUUCCUGCAGACCAACUGAGCAGAAGAAUCUUAAAGCCUGGCCUGGGUCCAAACUUCCACACUCACAUGAUGUUUAGUAAGCUGAAAACUGUGUAAGAUUUUUUAGUAGGUCUGGAACCUUGGUAUGAAACCAGCAGUAUGUCGUUUGCUUUCUGUCACAGGUGAAACAGUACACAGUGCAAACACUGGACAUUAUGCCGACCCAUGUUGUAAUGCAGUAGUGAUGACAAUGUUCUCAACAGACAAUGGCAGCAACCAAGAAGCUUAAACAUUAAAUAUAAAUAAAUAAUAAAUAUAAGAAAGGCAUAUUCAUUAUUACUGUUAUCCAUUGAAAGUUUGUAUUGAUACACUACAUACAUACACAUAUUAGAGUUGUAAGCGUAUGAGAUUUUUAUGGUAUGCUAACCGUCUCAGAAAAUAUGGCUGUUUCACAAUAUCAGGCAUUUACAGAAUGUAUCUUAUUAUCAGUUAGAAUGAUCCUUAAAGGAAUGAAAACAGAAGGCUAUUUUUGGUGGAACAAACAUUUGAUUACUACAACUGAAACUUGAAACCAUUUUUGUUAAUGGAAGUAUGUGUAAAAAAUCUCCCCUCAGAAAAUUACUAAAAUAAAGGGGAUA